Rosa rugosa (rugosa rose) is the source of this 1582-nucleotide long non-coding RNA. RefSeq lists it as uncharacterized. NCBI's taxonomy places the organism in Eukaryota, Viridiplantae, Streptophyta, Magnoliopsida, Rosales, Rosaceae. The transcript has 10 exons. The record is from RefSeq and is a predicted model, not a curated record.
AAUCAAAACAAUUGUAGACCAACAGAUGCCGUCAAGAUUUCCAUUAGCUUGACUGCGUCAACUCGCAUAUGACAGGAAAGAUGAAACUGUAAUUGGAGUCGUUACGAUAAGGGGUUUUAAGGGAGAAGGAGAAAGGCAUGUGCAUCGAGGAGGUCAGUGAUAAAGGUCCAGUCUGAAGAAACCAUCAACACACAGGGACUCUGUUUUCAGGUUGAGAUCUAUGAGGAUAACGAUAAUGCAGGCGAGCAAGGACGAGUUUGCGGCUCUGCUCUCGGAUCGAUGACCAAUAUGUGUUCACUGCAUUUUAUCAUAGAUUGAAACGUACGGAUCCAUGAGUACCAUAGGAGACAUCCAGCUGCACGACUAGUUGUUGAUGCCAAUGAGGAACAUGAAGCACUGCUCAAACAGGAGCCUCAAGUGGAGAGAUGAAUGAUUGAUUCGCCUUCAGUGAGAUUGGAACUUAUCACUUGCCUUCAGACGAUUGAUAGCAACAACUAUCCUGAGACUUUGAAUUGUAUGUUUAUCAUCAAUGCUGGUUCUGGUUUUAGAAUGUUGUGGAGCACUGUGAAGCCCUUCCUUGGUCCCAAGACAACUGAAAAGAUUAAUGUCCUUGGUGACAAGAGCAAGAUACUUCAAAUAAUUGAUGCUAGAUUGCUAUAACACCGCCCUAGUUUGCCACAGAUGACUUUUCUUGGCAUGUCACCCUCGCUUGUGGCUGCGAGUUGAGCGAUCCAUUGGAGCCUGGCGUCUUCCCCAGUAUUGAGACAGCGGUUGCUGCCGCAAGGCUUGGCGUCACCAUUCUAAUUUCAGCAGGGGGAAAGCAUCUUGCUUCUGAUACUUAAAUAGAAAAGCCACUUUGCCUGGUUAAAUGUAUACUGGACACUGCUUGCUCAAAGUUCCGUUCAUGGAGCAAUGGCAGGGUUCACAAGCUUUUUAGUUAGCCUAUUACUGAGAGCCAGAACUAGGUUGUGAUUACCGAUAGGAUCUGGGCCACAACUCCUUUCUUGAACCCAAAGAUGUUGAUGAAGUCCAAAAAGAUGAAGAGCCUCCAAAUCAACUGCUAGACAGGGAAAGUUGUACAGCUAGCAAGUACUGAAGACAUUCCUGACAUGACAUGAAAACACAAGACUGUUUUAUUCGAAACCUUUUGUUAGAAUCAUAAGUAUUCAGACCUUUGGUUGAUGCCCUACUGACCCAGAAUGUUGAUGGGAAUUCACAUUUUUGACUGCCAGUAUCAUCUGUGGAGCAUAAUUGUUUGCUGUUGUAUCAGAUGAAUUCAAUUCACCAUGCCCUACCGAAGAGAUUUCUGCUUAAAGUGUUCAUUUGGUAGAAGCAAAACUAGCAUAUGUGAAUGGGAUUAGCAGAGUCUAAUCAAGCUCCACCCUUGUACGAGUUUGUAAUUACUUAGGUCAUUGCAUAUUUUUGACGAGUGCUGCUACUGGCCAUUUGUUCUGUUGGAUAGUUUUGGGUGUUUAGCAGUAGAUAGUAGUUUGGAUGUUUAACAGGAGCUAAUAUGCCAUCUGUUUUGUUUCAUCUUUAUGCUUUCAUUUUAAAAUUGAGUUAAGUAGAUUCAUCUUUUACA